This 494-nucleotide ribosomal RNA is filed under the name uncultured bacterium. RNAcentral describes it as "partial 16S ribosomal RNA". It matches the Rfam family "Bacterial small subunit ribosomal RNA", at positions 30 to 506 of the family's 1533-position model. The record is from RNAcentral.
UGACCGCUGGCGGCGUGCCUAAUACAUGCAAGUCGAGCGAACGGACGAGAAGCUUGCUUCUCUGAUGUUAGCGGCGGACGGGUGAGUAACACGUGGAUAACCUACCUAUAAGACUGGGAUAACUUCGGGAAACCGUAGCUAAUACCGGAUAAUAUUUUGAACCGCAUGGUUCAAAAGUGAAAGACGGUCUUGCUGUCACUUAUAGAUGGAUCCGCGCUGCAUUAGCUAGUUGGUAAGGUAACGGCUUACCAAGGCAACGAUGAAUAGCCGACCUGAGAGGGGGAAGGGCCAAAGGGGAACGGGAAAGCGGGCCAGACCCCAAGGGGAGGCAGGCGGGGGGAACUUUCCGAAAGGGGCGAAAGCCUGACGGAGAAACGCCGGGUGGGUGAUGAAGGCUUUCGGAUGGAAAAACUCUGUUAUUAGGGAAAAAAAUAUUGGAAAGAAACGGGGCACAUUUUGACGGUACCAAAGCAAAAACCCCCGGCUAACUCCGG